CCUACGGGAGGCAGCAGUGAGGAAUAUUGGUCAAUGGGCGGGAGCCUGAACCAGCCAAGUCGCGUGAGGGACGACGGUCCUAUGGAUUGUAAACCUCUUUUGUCGGGGAACAAAGGCGCCCACGGGUGGGCGGAUGAGUGUACCCGAAGAAAAAGCAUCGGCUAAAGCCGUGCCCGCAGCCGCGGUAAUACGGAGGAUGCGAGCGUUAUCCGGAUUUAGUGGGUUUAAAGGGUGCGCAGGCGGGCUGUUAAGCCGGCGGUAAAAAUUCAGGGCUCAACCCUGUCGAGCCGUCGGAACUGGCAGUCUUGAGUGGGCGAGAAGUAUGCGGAAUGCGUGGUGUAGCGGUGAAAUGCAUAGAUAUCACGCAGAACGCCGAUUGCGAAGGCAGCAUACCGGCGCCCAACUGACGCUGAGGCACGAAAGCGUGGGGAUCGAACAGGAUUAGAUACCCGUGUAGUC
Molecule: ribosomal RNA, 459 nt
Filed under: uncultured bacterium
Lineage: Bacteria
Description: partial 16S ribosomal RNA
Rfam family: Bacterial small subunit ribosomal RNA
Source: RNAcentral